UACGGGAGGCAGCAGUAGGGAAUCUUCCGCAAUGGGCGAAAGCCUGACGGAGCAACGCCGCGUGAGUGAUGAAGGUCUUCGGAUCGUAAAACUCUGUUAUUAGGGAAGAACAUAUGUGUAAGUAACUGUGCACAUCUUGACGGUACCUAAUCAGAAAGCCACGGCUAACUACGUGCCAGCAGCCGCGGUAAU
This 192-nucleotide ribosomal RNA is filed under the name uncultured bacterium. Its description in RNAcentral is "partial 16S ribosomal RNA". It matches the Rfam family "Bacterial small subunit ribosomal RNA", at positions 340 to 524 of the family's 1533-position model. The record is from RNAcentral.